This 497-nucleotide ribosomal RNA is filed under the name uncultured bacterium. RNAcentral describes it as "partial 16S ribosomal RNA". It matches the Rfam family "Bacterial small subunit ribosomal RNA", at positions 28 to 507 of the family's 1533-position model. The record is from RNAcentral.
GAUGAACGCUGGCGGCGUGCCUAAUACAUGCAAGUCGAGCGAACUGACGAGAAGCUUGCUUCUCUGAUGUUAGCGGCGGACGGGUGAGUAACACGUGGACAACCUACCUAUAAGACUGGGAUAACUUCGGGAAACCGGAGCUAAUACCGGAUAAUAUUUUGAACCGCAUGGUUCAAAAGUGAAAGACGGCCUUGCUGUCACUUAUAGAUGGAUCCGCGCUGCAUUAGCUAGUUGGUAAGGUAACGGCUUACCAAGGCAACGAUGCAUAGCCGACCUGAGAGGGUGAUCGGCCACACUGGAACUGAGACACGGUCCAGACUCCUACGGGAGGCAGCAGUAGGGAAUCUUCCGCAAUGGGCGAAAGCCUGACGGAGCAACGCCGCGUGAGUGAUGAAGGUCUUCGGAUCGUAAAACUCUGUUAUUAGGGAAGAACAUAUGUGUAAGUAACUGUGCACAUCUUGACGGUACCUAAUCAGAAAGCCACGGCUAACUACGUG